Molecule: ribosomal RNA, 1228 nt
Filed under: Staphylococcus cohnii subsp. cohnii
Lineage: Bacteria; Bacillati; Bacillota; Bacilli; Caryophanales; Staphylococcaceae
Description: bacterial SSU rRNA
Rfam family: Bacterial small subunit ribosomal RNA
Source: RNAcentral
CAGGAUGAACGCUGGCGGCGUGCCUAAUACAUGCAAGUCGAGCGAACAGAUAAGGAGCUUGCUCCUUUGACGUUAGCGGCGGACGGGUGAGUAACACGUGGGUAACCUACCUAUAAGACUGGAAUAACUCCGGGAAACCGGGGCUAAUGCCGGAUAACAUUUAGAACCGCAUGGUUCUAAAGUGAAAGAUGGUUUUGCUAUCACUUAUAGAUGGACCCGCGCCGUAUUAGCUAGUUGGUAAGGUAACGGCUUACCAAGGCAACGAUACGUAGCCGACCUGAGAGGGUGAUCGGCCACACUGGAACUGAGACACGGUCCAGACUCCUACGGGAGGCAGCGGUAGGGAAUCUUCCGCGAUGGGCGAAAGCCUGACGGAGCAACGCCGCGUGAGUGAUGAAGGUCUUCGGAUCGUAAAAACUCUGUUAUUAGGGAAGAACAAAUGUGUAAGUAACUAUGCACGUCUUGACGGUACCUAAUCAGAAAAGCCACGGCUAACUACGUGCCAGCAAGCCGCGGUAAUACGUAGGUGGCAAAGCGUUAUCCGGAAUUAUUGGGCGUAAAGCGCGCGUAGGCGGUUUCUUAAGUCUGAUGUGAAAAGCCCACGGCUCAACCGUGGAGGGUCAUUGGAAACUGGGAAACUUGAGUACAGAAGAGGAAAGUGGAAUUCCAUGUGUAGCGGUGAAAUGCGCAGAGAUAUGGAGGAACACCAGUGGCGAAGGCGACUUUCUGGUCUGUAACUGACGCUGAUGUGCGAAAGCGUGGGGAUCAAACAGGAUUAGAUACCCUGGUAGUCCACGCCGUAAACGAUGAGUGCUAAGUGUUAGGGGGUUUCCGCCCCUUAGUGCUGCAGCUAACGCAUUAAGCACUCCGCCUGGGGAGUACGACCGCAAGGUUGAAACUCAAAGGAAUUGACGGGGACCCGCACAAGCGGUGGAGCAUGUGGUUUAAUUCGAAGCAACGCGAAGAACCUUACCAAAUCUUGACAUCCUUUGACAACUCUAGAGAUAGAGCCUUCCCCUUCGGGGGACAAAGUGACAGGUGGUGCAUGGUUGUCGUCAGCUCGUGUCGUGAGAUGUUGGGUUAAGUCCCGCAACGAGCGCAACCCUUAAACUUAGUUGCCAGCAUUUAGUUGGGCACUCUAAGUUGACUGCCGGUGACAAACCGGAGGAAGGUGGGGAUGACGUCAAAUCAUCAUGCCCCCUUAUGAUUUGGGCUACACACGUGCUAC